UAUCUACAACUCCCACCCUUUGCGAACCUUACCACUGUUGCCUCGGCGGGACGCGCGGAGAACGCGCUAUAAGCCCGCCGGCGGACUGCUAUAAUACAUUCUGUCACGUGUAACGUAACUCUGAAUGCUUCAAACAAAUAAGUUAAAACUUUCAACAACGGAUCUCUUGGUUCUGGCAUCGAUGAAGAACGCAGCGAAAUGCGAUAAGUAAUGUGAAUUGCAGAAUUCAGUGAAUCAUCGAAUCUUUGAACGCACAUUGCGCCCGUUAGUAUUCUAGCGGGCAUGCCUGUUCGAGCGUCAUUACGACCCUUAAGCCCUGUAGCUUAGCGUUGGGAACCUAGGUUUCCCCCCCUCGGGGGUGUGCCCAGCUCCCUAAAGGUAGUGGCGGAGUCGGGGUCCUGCUCUGAGCGUAGUAGUAUUCUUCUCGCUUCUGUAGUAGCCCCGGCGGCCUGCCGUAAAACACCCCCCUAUAUCUUAGUGGUUGACCUCGAAUCAGGUAGGAAYACCMGCUGAACUUAAGCAUAUCAAAAGGCGGAGGAA
RNAcentral lists this ribosomal RNA (540 nucleotides) under Rhopalostroma brevistipitatum. RNAcentral describes it as "eukaryotic LSU rRNA". Lineage: Eukaryota; Fungi; Ascomycota; Sordariomycetes; Xylariales; Hypoxylaceae. The record is from RNAcentral.